UAGCGAUUAAAGUAAUGUAACUAAUGUUACCUGUGUUUCCUGAACAACAGAAUUGUCAUGAAGGCUGCAGCACAUCUGGAAUGGAUCUAAAAUGCCGGUGUCUCCAAAUCCCCAUCACAUCAGUGGAAACGUGCACACCAGACUACUUCAAACAGGGACUUGCGUCACUGAGUAGUGUGCAUCCUGUUGCAUGCUUACUGAUUAGAAGAUUGAAGUUAUGGUCCAAGCCGGGCUUUCAGCAGCUGGCCCCUCACUGUGAACCAGUGGUGUCUCCACGGGUGUUUCUGGAGCAGCUGAGACAAGUGUUCCAAGGACUGAACAGCAUCAAACCAUAACAAAAUGAUUUAAAUAUUCUAUAUUUAUAA
This is a non-coding RNA of Salmo salar (Atlantic salmon), 365 nucleotides long. Lineage: Eukaryota; Metazoa; Chordata; Actinopteri; Salmoniformes; Salmonidae. The record is from RefSeq and is a predicted model, not a curated record.